UCCUCCUCGCAUUUCCUUCACUUCUCUUGUGAAAACCUAUUUUUGGUUAGGUUUCUGUGAAGUUUUAAGAUCAGAAAAUGGGAUCCUUCCCCACUUCCAACAGCCGACCUUCUUUCCUUUUCUACAAAUAUCAUCAUGACCUUUUUGUCUUUUCAACAGCACCAUCAUUACUUUUUAUUAAAUCUCUAUCACUUCUUCUCUCAUGUCCCAUCCUCCCAAUUUUAUUUUAUUUUUUCUCCCCAUCAGCCAGUUCUCUUCCCUCACAUCUUUUUCUCUCUCUGACACACCCCACUUUCCUGUGCACUCUCCCCUCCCUCACGUUACUCAUUCUCAGCCACUUAAUCUUUCUUUAUUUUAUCUCUCUUUCCCUCAAACUUUUUCAUUUCAUCUGCAUGCAUAGAAAGCAACGUAGAGAAGCAGGGAAAGAGGCCGAGAGUAUGAAUAAGAGCAAAGGCUCUCGUUUGUUAUCAUGCAAAUGAGUUAGUAUGCAUGUAAGCUUAAGUUAUGGAGAUUUUUAGAUAGGUUGUCUUGUCAAAGCUCGAAUUAUCAAGUGAUGUAGGCUACGACGAGAAGCGGCAUAAUUUGAUUCGGAGAAUCGAUUUCGCUUGGGCUGUGGAGAAUGACGAGAA
Long non-coding RNA from Pyrus x bretschneideri (Chinese white pear), 629 nucleotides. RefSeq lists it as uncharacterized. The transcript is spliced from 2 exons. The record is from RefSeq and is a predicted model, not a curated record. NCBI's taxonomy places the organism in Eukaryota, Viridiplantae, Streptophyta, Magnoliopsida, Rosales, Rosaceae.